Molecule: small nuclear RNA, 194 nt
Organism: Dipodomys ordii (Ord's kangaroo rat)
Lineage: Eukaryota; Metazoa; Chordata; Mammalia; Rodentia; Heteromyidae
Gene: U2
Rfam family: U2 spliceosomal RNA
About the family: U2 is a small nuclear RNA (snRNA) component of the spliceosome (involved in pre-mRNA splicing). Complementary binding between U2 snRNA (in an area lying towards the 5' end but 3' to hairpin I) and the branchpoint sequence (BPS) of the intron results the bulging out of an unpaired adenosine, on the BPS, which initiates a nucleophilic attack at the intronic 5' splice site, thus starting the first of two transesterification reactions that mediate splicing.
Source: Ensembl
AUUGCUUCUUGGCCUUUUGGCUAAGAUCAAGUGUAGUAUCUGUUCUUAUCAGUUUAAUAAUGGAUUUUUAUUUUUAUUUUUAUUUAUUUUUCUUGUUAUUUUUGUGUGUGUGUGAAAAUACCGUACAGAGGGGUUACAAUUACAUGGGCAAGGUAAUGAGUGCAUUUCUUAUUAAGCAUUGUUGCCUCCUCCUU